AGGGGUAACAUUGUGCUUGCACAGAUGACGACCGGCGAACGGGUGCGUAACGCGUAUAGAAUCUACCUCUUACUAAGGGAUAGCCCAGAGAAAUUUGGAUUAAGACCUUAUAGUAUAUAUGACUGGCAUCAGUUUUAUAUUAAAGAUUACGGUAAGAGAUGACUAUGCGUCCUAUUAGCUAGAUGGUGUGGUAACGGCACACCAUGGCAACGAUAGGUAGGGGCCCUGAGAGGGGGAUCCCCCACACUGGUACUGAGACACGGACCAGACUCCUACGGGAGGCAGCAGUGAGGAAUAUUGGACAAUGGAGGCAACUCUGAUCCAGCCAUGCCGCGUGCAGGAUGACUGCCCUAUGGGUUGUAAACUGCUUUUAUACAGGAAGAAACCAUCUCACGUGUGAGAUCUUGACGGUACUGUAAGAAUAAGGAUCGGCUAACUCCGUGCCAGCAGCCGCGGUAAUACGGAGGAUCCAAGCGUUAUCCGGAAUCAUUGGGUUUAAAGGGUCCGUAGGUGGAUAAUUAAGUCAGAGGUGAAAUCCUGCAGCUCAACUGUAGAAUUGCCUUUGAUACUGGUUAUCUUGAGUUAUUAUGAAGUAGUUAGAAUAUGUAGUGUAGCGGUGAAAUGCAUAGAUAUUACAUAGAAUACCAAUUGCGAAGGCAGAUUACUAAUAAUAUACUGACACUGAUGGACGAAAGCGUGGGGAGCGAACAGGAUUAGAUA
Molecule: ribosomal RNA, 720 nt
Filed under: Bacteroidetes bacterium GM80
Lineage: Bacteria; Pseudomonadati; Bacteroidota
Description: bacterial SSU rRNA
Rfam family: Bacterial small subunit ribosomal RNA
Source: RNAcentral